Cajanus cajan (pigeon pea) is the source of this 397-nucleotide long non-coding RNA. RefSeq lists it as uncharacterized. The record is from RefSeq and is a predicted model, not a curated record. NCBI's taxonomy places the organism in Eukaryota, Viridiplantae, Streptophyta, Magnoliopsida, Fabales, Fabaceae.
UUUACAGAUUAAAUAUUCUAUUUGCUUUGUCUAAAAUAGUUUUCCUAAAAAAAAUUGUUUAUUAUCAUUAAAAUUUAUAGCCUCUUGAGGGAUUCAAGAUUGCCUUUUGAUUUUACAAACUCUAAGGGUUUUGAGUUUCUGAUAUGGUGUCAGGUGCCAUGCACAAUCUGUUGAGCGUUGUGGAGCCCAAGAGCAAAGUACGCCCUAUGUUUUAUUCACGCCGAAUGCACGAUACAUCUCCCUGGGCACCAUCAAGUUUGCAUGUCUCUAUGCCAUUUAUGUUGGAAACCUGACUUAGAAUCACCCGUAAAUGGAAAGCCUUCCUCUAAAGGGAGUCAUAUUCCUGAAGGCCAUGACUUAGAUUCACUUUCUACUAUUUAGUUUACUUUUUUUUUUA